Molecule: ribosomal RNA, 253 nt
Filed under: uncultured bacterium
Lineage: Bacteria
Description: partial 16S ribosomal RNA
Rfam family: Bacterial small subunit ribosomal RNA
Source: RNAcentral
UACGUAGGGCGCAAGCGUUGUCCGGAAUUAUUGGGCGUAAAGAGCUCGUAGGCGGCUUGUCACGUCGGGUGUGAAAGCCCGGGGCUUAACCCCGGGUCUGCAUUCGAUACGGGCUAGCUAGAGUGUGGUAGGGGAGACUGGAAUUCCUGGUGUAGCGGUGAAAUGCGCAGAUAUCAGGAGGAACACCGGUGGCGAAGGCGGGUCUCUGGGCCGUAACUGACGCUGAGGAGCGAAAGCAUGGGGAGCGAACAGG